This 83-nucleotide transfer RNA is filed under the name Bacteroidota bacterium. Its description in RNAcentral is "tRNA-Tyr". It matches the Rfam family "tRNA". Rfam says of the family: Transfer RNA (tRNA) molecules are approximately 80 nucleotides in length. RNAcentral also lists the same sequence under 1 other name. The record is from RNAcentral. Lineage: Bacteria; Pseudomonadati; Bacteroidota.
GGUGGGGUACCGAAGCGGUCAAACGGGGCAGACUGUAAAUCUGUUGGCAUUCGCCUUCGGAGGUUCGAAUCCUCCCCCCACCA